This is a non-coding RNA of Podarcis lilfordi (Lilford's wall lizard), 79 nucleotides long. Lineage: Eukaryota; Metazoa; Chordata; Lepidosauria; Squamata; Lacertidae. The record is from the annotation of a GenBank genome assembly.
ACUUCUCUCUCUCUCUCUCUCUCUCUCUCUGUGUGUGUGUGUGUGUGUGAGAGAGAGAGAGAGAGAGAGAGAGAGGAGG